CCUACGGGAGGCAGCAGUGGGGAAUAUUGGACAAUGGGCGAAAGCCUGAUCCAGCAAUGCCGCGUGAGUGAUGAAGGCCUUCGGGUCGUAAAGCUCUUUUACCAGGGAUGAUAAUGACAGUACCUGGAGAAUAAGCUCCGGCUAACUCCGUGCCAGCAGCCGCGGUAAUACGGAGGGAGCUAGCGUUGUUCGGAAUUACUGGGCGUAAAGAGUACGUAGGCGGUUAUUCAAGUCAGAGGUGAAAGCCCGGGGCUCAACCCCGGAACUGCCUUUGAAACUAGAUAACUAGAGUCUUGGAGAGGUUAGUGGAAUUCCGAGUGUAGAGGUGAAAUUCGUAGAUAUUCGGAAGAACACCAGUGGCGAAGGCGACUAACUGGACAAGUACUGACGCUGAGGUACGAAAGCGUGGGGAGCAAACAGGAUUAGAUACCCUGGUAGUCCACGCCGUAAACGAUGAUAACUAGUUGUUCGGUCACUUGGUGACUGAGUGACGCAGCUAACGCAUUAAGUUAUCCGCCUGGGGAGUACGGUCGCAAGAUUAAAACNCAAAGGAAUUGACGGCUGAGACGNGCGACGACGACGACGAGGGAGUAGG
This 595-nucleotide ribosomal RNA is filed under the name uncultured bacterium. Its description in RNAcentral is "bacterial SSU rRNA". It matches the Rfam family "Bacterial small subunit ribosomal RNA", at positions 338 to 953 of the family's 1533-position model. The record is from RNAcentral.